Molecule: non-coding RNA, 123 nt
Filed under: Novosphingobium sp. AAP83
Lineage: Bacteria; Pseudomonadati; Pseudomonadota; Alphaproteobacteria; Sphingomonadales; Sphingomonadaceae
Also listed under: 1 other name
Description: Glycine riboswitch aptamer
Rfam family: Glycine riboswitch aptamer
About the family: This family represents the bacterial glycine riboswitch. Glycine riboswitches usually consist of two metabolite-binding aptamers domains with similar structures in tandem.
Source: Rfam by way of RNAcentral
UAGCGACGCUCUGGAAAGUGCUACCUCUCUUAGAGGGGGGCCGCCGAAGGGGUAACCCCAUCAAGCCCUUCUGGAGAGGAGGGUGGGGGAAAGCUCUCAGGUUUCCGUGACAGAGGGGGCGCC